This 429-nucleotide ribosomal RNA is filed under the name bacterium. RNAcentral describes it as "partial 16S ribosomal RNA". It matches the Rfam family "Bacterial small subunit ribosomal RNA", at positions 355 to 776 of the family's 1533-position model. The record is from RNAcentral.
UGGGGAAUUUUGGACAAUGGGCGCAAGCCUGAUCCAGCCAUGCCGCGUGCGGGAAGAAGGCCUUCGGGUUGUAAACCGCUUUCGGCCGGAACGAAAUCGCCCGGGUGAACAUCCCGGGUGGAUGACGGUACCGGAAGAAGAAGCACCGGCUAACUACGUGCCAGCAGCCGCGGUAAUACGUAGGGUGCGAGCGUUAAUCGGAAUUACUGGGCGUAAAGCGUGCGCAGGCGGUCUCGUAAGACAGGUGUGAAAUCCCCGGGCUCAACCUGGGAACUGCGCUUGUGACUGCGAGGCUGGAGUGUGGCAGAGGGAGGUGGAAUUCCACGUGUAGCAGUGAAAUGCGUAGAGAUGUGGAGGAACACCGAUGGCGAAGGCAGCCUCCUGGGCCAGCACUGACGCUCAUGCACGAACGCGUGGGGAGCAAACAGG